This 212-nucleotide ribosomal RNA is filed under the name uncultured Actinomycetes bacterium. RNAcentral describes it as "uncultured actinobacterium partial 16S ribosomal RNA". It matches the Rfam family "Bacterial small subunit ribosomal RNA", at positions 370 to 599 of the family's 1533-position model. Lineage: Bacteria; Bacillati; Actinomycetota; Actinomycetes. The record is from RNAcentral.
GAUGGGCGAAAGCCUGACGGAGCAACGCCGCGUGAGGGAUGAAGGCCUCUGGGCUGUAAACCUCUUUUAUCAAGGAAGAAGAUUACGGUACUUGAUGAAUAAGCCACGGCUAAUUCCGUGCCAGCAGCCGCGGUAAUACGGGAGUGGCAAGCGUUAUCCGGAAUUAUUGGGCGUAAAGCGUCCGCAGGCGGCCCUUCAAGUCUGCUGUUAAA